This 68-nucleotide transfer RNA is filed under the name Epomophorus gambianus (Gambian epauletted fruit bat). RNAcentral's name for it is "tRNA-His". It matches the Rfam family "tRNA". From Rfam's summary of the family: Transfer RNA (tRNA) molecules are approximately 80 nucleotides in length. Their secondary structure includes four short double-helical elements and three loops (D, anti-codon, and T loops). The record is from RNAcentral. RNAcentral also lists the same sequence under 2 other names. Lineage: Eukaryota; Metazoa; Chordata; Mammalia; Chiroptera; Pteropodidae.
GUAGAUAUAGUUUAAGCAAAACACUAGAUUGUGAAUCUAGCAAUAGAGACCAAAAACUCUUAUCCACC